GAUGAACGCUGACAGAAUGCUUAACACAUGCAAGUCAACUUGAACUUCGGUUUGGGUGGCGGACGGGUGAGUAACGCGUAAAGAACUUGCCUCACAGAUAGGGACAACAUUUGGAAACGAAUGCUAAUACCUGAUAUUAUGAUUAUAUGGCAUCGUAUAAUUAUGAAAGCUAUAUGCGCUGUGAGAGAGCUUUGCGUCCCAUUAGCUAGUUGGAGAGGUAACGGCUCACCAAGGCGAUGAUGGGUAGCCGGCCUGAGAGGGUGAUCGGCCACAAGGGGACUGAGACACGGCCCUUACUCCUACGGGAGGCAGCAGUGGGGAAUAUUGGACAAUGGACCAAGAGUCUGAUCCAGCAAUUCUGUGUGCACGAUGAAGUUUUUCGGAAUGUAGAGUGCUUUCAGUUGGGAAGAAAAAAAUGACGGUACCAACAGAAGAAGUGACGGCUAAAUACGUG
RNAcentral lists this ribosomal RNA (454 nucleotides) under uncultured bacterium. Its description in RNAcentral is "partial 16S ribosomal RNA". It matches the Rfam family "Bacterial small subunit ribosomal RNA", at positions 28 to 507 of the family's 1533-position model. The record is from RNAcentral.